GCAUCUGAGUGUCCACAUCCAAGCCAAGUUUCUAUGCAAAGUAAAGCAGUCUUUCCUCUGCUCCAACACAUGUCUUCACUUGCAAAUUCUCCAAGAUUUGAAACAGAGUUUCCAUCUCCUUUCCCUCUAAAGUGAUGAUGAAAAUAGGUUUGUCUCAUUACAUGCAGGAAAGUCAGCUGUUAAUACUACUUGAUGCUUUCCCAUGAAUUGCUCUCGGUUCCCUCCAUUUUUUUUUUUUUUUUUUUUUGACAAUUCGUUCUUACCCUCAGCCCCUCACCCUCAUCUCUUUAUACAUUGUCUCUAGUCAGGUGCAUCCAAAUUCCAAUGUUCCGUGCGAAUCUUGAACCACGCACUCUGCUUCAAAACUUUUACUCUCGUACCCACUACAUAUAUUUGGGAAGAUAUUUCAAAUAUACGUAUAUUUGGAAAGAUAUAUAUUUUGGAAAAAUAUACUUCCCCACCUAUUUUAAAACUGGCACCUAAAAUAUACGUAUAUUUAAAAAAUAUACUUCCCCACUUAUUUUAAAGCUGGCACCUGAAAUGUUCCUAUGUUGAGCACUGGUAAAGGAUUUAAUUAUCAGCAUGUUACAUAGGAAUACAUAUUAUAUAUCAAAUGUAUUUCUGUACAAAUAUUGGUACAGCAGAUUCACAUCUAUUGAUGGAAUAUAUUAUACAAUGAAACUUACAGAACCAAUCAAUCCUCUGUCCCAUCAGAAAGCCAAAUCGGACCUACUUUCUGUCCAACAGUGGUAUUCCAUUUAUCCUUUCAAAUAAAUGUGCAGGAACAGUGUCAUUCUGAAUUUUGACAGAGCUUUGAUGAGUGAGGCCGUUGGUCCUUGGGCAUGUGAAGCACUGCUGUGAAGAGGGUGGAGUGACAUAGAAAGGUUGAGUUGCUUGGGGAAUGAUGACCAGAUGGGUGGUGCCAUUUUUGUAUUCUGCACGCACUCUGGGAGGUGGCUCUGGGUGGGUGUCUCUCUAAGAUCUUCCCCCUAAAAGAAUUGCCACUGAUCCCACCCGGAUGUCCCCUUGGCAAUUCAACUUGCCCUGUCCCCUGCAUAGACAUUCCUAACAUCCUUCGGGCCACCCUACGUCAAUAAGAAUAGCCCAGGUGUUACUUUGGCUGGAUGAUCAAGAACCAGUUCAACAUCAAGGUCCUUACCAGGGAUGAGUCAGGAUACUUUUCUGCCCCUCUUGCAAUGAAGGGAGCAGAGAAGCCUUUCUCUUCUGUCGUCUUCAUCCCCAAAUGCUUAAGCCCUGUGUCAUCAGACAAAAUAAGAAAUGUUCUACAGAAUACCUACCUGCUCAUUACUUCUCCAGCCCAUCAAAGGUAUGGAGAUCAAGGAAUGUUUGAGGAAUGGUCACAGACUGGAAGAGACUAAGAAUGGAAAUACGGAGUUAGCGAAAUCCAAAGAACAUAUGGAAUUGGGUUAGCAUGAAUAUAUAGCGCUGGUUUUUCAGUUGUGACAAAAGGUACCGUUGUUGUGUAAGGUGCUGACAUGAGCAGAAAUGGGUGAGACGUACACACAGCAGCUUUUCUGCGCUCUCUUUGCAACUUUCCUGUAAAUCUAAAUGUAUUCCAAAAUAGUUUGUUGUAACAAAAACACAAAAAAAGCAAUUGUAAUAGGAAACCUUGACUCUUAGGCUUUUGCAUCAGUUUUGCUGCUGUAGCAUCACUUCCCUGUGGGAGAUGUUUCUUUGGCCCUGUCAUCAAAUCCUGACCAGUUGAGUGUAUCUCUUCCUACACAACCCUUUUGAUGUUUAUCUCAAUCUUUAGGGUCAUUCAAGCUCCAUAACUGCCAGGAUAAAUGGGAUUUUGUUUUUUAACUUUUUAGGUAGAGCCAAGGGUGUGGUCUCUUAUUUUUAAUUAUCACCCAAAGUAGAUUGCACUGGGGUUCAUUUUUGUUGUUUGAAAUUCCAUGGGUUUGGACAAACAUAAAAUGUCAUAUAUCUAGCAUUAUAGUAUCAUUUAGAGUGACUUCUCUGCCCUCAAAUUCUUCUUUUCUCUACCUGCUUAUUCCAUGUUAUCCCCAAGCCCUGGCCACCUGUAAUCUUUUCACCAUCUCUAUUGUUUUGCCUUUUCCAGGGUAUCAUUUAGUUGGAAUCAUACAGUGUGUAGCUUUCACAAAUGGGCUUCUUCACUUAGUGAUAUGCAUGUAAGUUUCUUCCAUAUCUUUCCGUGACUUGAUAGCUCUCUUCUUCAUAGACGAUGAUAAUAUGCCAUUGGAUGGAUCACUGUUUAUUUCUCCACUUACUUGCUACACAGCGUCCUCGCUGCUUCUAUGUUUUAGCAAUGAGGAGUAAAGCUGCUGCAAACAUCCGUGGACAGGUUUUGUGUGGGUGUCCGUCUUCAGCUCCUUUGGGUAAAUAUUAAGGAGUAAGAUUGUAGGGUCUUAUGGUAAAGCCUAUGUUUACUUUUGUAAGAAAACUUCCAACAGUCUUUACCAUUUUGCAUCCUACUUGCUUUCUUAGACAGUUUCCUCUUUGGGACUUUGAAUGUCACAUGGGAGGGAGACAGAGGAUACUAAUCAAUAUUUUUUCAGUAUCAAAUGAUCCGGAGCACCUGGGCCGUGUAUUUAAAAUGUUCGUUGCCCAGCCACCUCCCUCGAGACUCUGAUGCAGUGGGUCUGGAGUGGGUCCUGGAAACUUGCCCGUGUGCUCAGGAGCCUAUCUUUGAGUAUUGCUGGCUGAUUCUGGUGAACUUCCUCCUGCUGCCUGGUCAGAGGGGAAGGUCUUGCCCACUUUGGAAAAAGGAUGUUCCUAGUUUACCUCAUUCAUCUAUUACUGUCUUCUGAAAUUGCCAUUAAGUUAGCAAUUGCAUUUUUUUUUUUUUUGGUCUUUUUUUCGGGGAUGCACCUGCACCUGUGCAAGUUCCCAGGCUAGGGCUCAGAUCUGAGCUUCAGCUGCUGGCCUCUCUCACAGCCACAGCAAUGCCAGAUCCAAGAUACGUCUGCACCCUGCACCACAGCUCAUGGCAACACUGGCUCCUGGCUCCUUAACCCACUGAGCAAGGCCAGGGAUCCACCUCAACUUCUCAUAAAUCCUAGUCAGAUUAGUUACUGCAGAGCCAUGAUGAGAACUCCGACGCUAGGUUGUCUUGAAAAUAAACCUGGCUUCUCUGAUGGGAGGUAGAACUGUGAUUCAUGCCCCCCAGUUGUUGUUUUUUUGUUUUGUUUUUCAUUUUUUAGUUUUAUGGCCUCACCCAGGGCAUAUGAAAGUUCCAUGGCCAGGGACUGAUUCCUAACUUCAGCUGCAACCUACACGGCAGCUGUGGCAUUGCUGGAUCUUUAAUUCUUUGUACCGGGCCAAGGGUCAAACCCACAUCUCCACAGCACUCCAAGCCGCUGCAGUGGGGGUCUUAACCACUGUGCCCCGGGGGGAACUCCUCCCCCAGAUACUUAGUUGAAUGAAAAUCGUAGCCUGUUGAGGUGCAGUGAGAAUGGAGAACUUGGGGUGAGCAUGGGAGACCAUGAGGCUAGAAGGCAUGUCAUGUUCAGACCUAAUUAAUACAGACAUUUGAAAUCUGUAAAGUAGUCCACUGUGCCUUCCUGCCUCACAUUCAACACUUGCACAGAUAAAAGCCUUAGGAAUCGUCCACUGCAAUGUGGCCUUGUCUUGCAUAACCACAGUGCAAUCAUCAAAAUCAGGAAUUAACACGGAUCCAGUACUGCUGUUUCUCUAGAGACCUAGUCAGAUGCUGCCAAAUGUAAGAAUAAUGUCCAAAGUAACCUUCAGCUGUCCUGUUCCUGGAGUCUUUUUGUCUGGAAUAACUGUGUGUGUGUGUGUGUGUGUGUCUUUUUAGGGCCCCACCCACAGCAUAUGGAAUUUCCCAGGCUAGGGGUCGAAUCAGAGCUAUAGCCGCUGGCCUGCAGCACAGCAACUUGGGAUCUGAGCAGCAUCUGUGACCUACACCACACAGCUCAUAACAACGCCAGAUCCUUAACCCACUGAGCAAGGCUAGGGAAUCCAACCGAAGUCCUUUUGGAUACUUGGGUUCAUUCCCGAGGAGCCAUGAUGGGAACUCCUGGAAUAACUCUUCAGUCUAGAUCUUGGUAUGGCAGGACGUUGACAUUUUGGAAGAGAGUGGGUUCAUUAUUGCGGAAUGUCUCCAGUUUAGGAUUGUUUGAGCUCUCUAUGGUUGGGUUCAGGUUACGCUUUUUUGUUGCUGUUUUUCACAAAAAUGUAAAGAGUUCCCAUUGCGGCUCAGCGGGUUAAGAACUGGACUGGUAUCCAUGAGGAUGCGGGUUAGAUCUCUGUUCCCGCUUGGUGGGUUAAGGAUCCCACAUUGCCGUGAGCUGUGGUGUAGGUCACAGCUGCGGCUCAGACCUGGCACUGCUGUGGCCGUGGUGUAGCCCUGCAGCUGCAGCUCCAGUUGGACCCUAUCCUGGGAACUUUCAUAUGCUGGAGGCGCCCCAUAUCUGGAAUAAGGUCUAGGUCUGAAUCCACGUACCAAGGUCAUUCCCAUAAUUCCUUCUUCCCUUCUUGUGGAGAAGACAAAAGAACAUGUGAAGUGUUAAAAAAAAAAAAGACCAUUCUGCAGAGGUCCUAAAACACAAUGCAUCAAUGCCAAAAAUAGAGUGCCGUGUCGGUCACAUUGCUACUGGAUCCUCACCACUCUCACCCUUAUGAAAAUGGGGCUGAAGGGACGGUUGUUUUUUACCACUGGCUGCGGAAGAGAAACUACUGCAGAUGAUGCUAGAAAGGAAUUAAGAUUUUUUAAAAAAUAAUAUGUAUAUAAAAUUUUUAAUUUGGAUGAUGAGAUUUAAUGAAGAAACCAUGCAUCUUCCUAACUUGCCCUCCAAAGAGAAAAACUUUAUAGAUACCAGGUGUGUUAUUUUUUUUCGAUCUUGAUCUUGCUGUGAAGAGGAAUAGGGGAUUUUGGUUCAACUCUCUGAGUCUUUUGUCUGUCCUCCUGUAAGAUCAUGGAUUCUGCAGGUGCCAGAGGCCCAAGCUCAGGGAUUCGACAAGAGUGAGUAGCCCUAGGGCUCUCCAUCUUUAUGGUCAUUCUAUGACAUU
RNAcentral lists this long non-coding RNA (5013 nucleotides) under Sus scrofa (pig). RNAcentral describes it as "lncRNA (ENSSSCG00000052078.1)". The record is from RNAcentral. Lineage: Eukaryota; Metazoa; Chordata; Mammalia; Artiodactyla; Suidae.